This is a non-coding RNA of Mycena olivaceomarginata, 92 nucleotides long. NCBI's taxonomy places the organism in Eukaryota, Fungi, Basidiomycota, Agaricomycetes, Agaricales, Mycenaceae. The record is from the annotation of a GenBank genome assembly.
GCACUGGUUGUGUGUGGUACACCUGCCGGCUCAUUUGAGAGUUGUUCUUAUCCUGUCCGCGGUGGAUCGGGGUUCGAUUCCCCGCCAGUGCA